Molecule: long non-coding RNA, 487 nt
Organism: Pogoniulus pusillus (Red-fronted tinkerbird)
Lineage: Eukaryota; Metazoa; Chordata; Aves; Piciformes; Lybiidae
Exons: 3
Source: RefSeq, a predicted model, not a curated record
UUGGUGAGAGAUCUGGAAACCUAAGGUGUGCUGUCUGAGUAACAAUUCUGCAUAUGGAGUGGAGAGGAAAAUACUGCCAUCAGCCUGCAUACAUAAAUCUCCCUUCUUGCCCAUUGCUGCAGAAGUCACUGGACUAAAUUCCCAAAAUACAUUCUGAGCCUGCAGAGACAUCAAGAUUCCAGUAACAGGAAUACGUUGUUGAAGUCAGUGGGAAUGCUCUAAGUAUCUUAUCACCCAAAGUCAGCUAUUAAUUGUUCACCAGAAGGAGGCCAUGCUGAUGAAAGUACGUUUGCGCCUGUGUAUCCAACCAGUGUGUUACACUAGGAAUCCUUGCAAGUGUAAGUCAAAGCUCUUUCCUCCUGUGAGAUCCAGCAGAACACUGAGCAAGGGCAAUCAUAAAUACAUGACAACGGCUUUCUGCCUGAUAAACCCCCCUAAUUCACCCAGGUGAUAACAGAUUUUUGGUGAAAUUUCCUUGCUGACUUUU